AUUUCCCACCUACUUUUGUAGGUUGUCUACUCUUUCCAUAGUGCCCUUAACAUAUUCAUCAUAGUUAUUUUAAAUUCUCUCUCUGAGUCUGGUUCUGAUUAUUGCUUUUUUCUUCAUCAUGCGUAUCCUUUCGCCUUUUAUCAUGACUUCUAAUUUCUUCUACUUUUUUUCUAAAAGUCAGGCAUUUUAUAUCAAGUAGUAAGAACUGAAUUAAAUAGGACUUAGGUGUGGGGAUUUAUGUUAAUAUGGCUUUGAAUUGGACUCUGUUUAGUGUUUGUUAUAGCUAUAGGUUUUUGUAGCCGGAAGCUUCAAACCCUUCUAUGGUCCUUGUUUUUAUCUCCUCCUUGAUGUUGGGCUUCCCUAAGUGUUCCUCUUCAGAAAGAAUCUGUCUUAUGGCUUUUUCAGAUGCAAUCCACUAUUUUUUAUUUUGGGUUCCUGUUGGUGUGCUAGUAAAAAGUGGGCAACAGGGAGUGUUCUAUAAUCUUCCAAUUAAAGUUCAGUGUUUUACUGGGACUAUAUCUCAGGGCUGUGAACUCCAGAAACAUUUCUCCAGUGGUUUAGCUUUUUCUCCUCCUGCCUCUGCUCCCUAUUCUGACUAAAGCUUCCCAUCACUAUUUCCUUGAAGGUCCUACCUCUAUUUGUUUUUCCACCUGGAAUGAGACAGGAAUGCCAGAGCAAGCUGGAGUGACAGAAAAAUCUCCUCCCCAAAGCUGGGAUAAGAAGGCUCUGGUGAAGUCUAUUCUGAAAGGAAGGUGUUUGUUAUGCAGAAGGCUCCAGCAUAUUUCACAACGACUAUUCUGCCUCUUCUCUGCCAGGCUCACAGAAAUAAGUUGCACUGGACUAAUAAUUCUUAAAACUGAGUUCUUAAGAUAAUGAAUGGAUGAGACUAUAUAUAAGGACCAUAGCUGAAUAAAUGGAGAAACAAUAAGGAAGUAAGUUGCCAGUGCAGGAAAGCAAACUAAGUCAUUGGACUAUAGUCUUCUAGGAAGAAACAAAAUGAUUCAACGGAAAUCAAAUGAUGACAAGGAUGAAGAUGACAACCACAUAGAUGAAAAGAGGAUAGUAUUACAUGGAGAAAUAAUUCCUCCUCAUUGUGCAGAAGGCCAGACUGAUGUGGACAGAGUGCAGAGUAAUGAGAUUAACCUUCCAAUGUCACUUGUCAGCUGCCUAAUUCUUUAAACCGCUCCAGAAACCAGGCACAAUUUUGUGGUAUUGAUAAAGAAAUAAAUCAUGGUUGAAGAUUAUGUUUUGGGUAUCUGUUAAAAAGUGGAACAAAGAGCUAUUUACCAUUGCUUAUCUCAAGUAAUAAUAGUUACGAAGCACUCAUUCAUCAAAAAGCUAACUUCUGACCUAGAAGUUCCAUUUAAAAUUUGGUCUUCCUUUCCUUAAAAUCAUCGGCAUUGUAGUUAGCUGGUAGAUUUCUUUUUCAGACGCAUUCAUUGGUCCUCUAG
Molecule: long non-coding RNA, 1451 nt
Filed under: Equus caballus (horse)
Lineage: Eukaryota; Metazoa; Chordata; Mammalia; Perissodactyla; Equidae
Description: lncRNA (ENSECAG00000048351.1)
Source: RNAcentral